GCGUUAUCCGGAAUUAUUGGGCGUAAAGCGUCCGCAGGUGGUCAGCCAAGUCUGCCGUCAAAUCAGGUUGCUUAACGACCUAAAGGCGGUGGAAACUGGCAGACUAGAGAGCAGUAGGGGUAGCAGGAAUUCCCAGUGUAGCGGUGAAAUGCGUAGAGAUUGGGAAGAACAUCGGUGGCGAAAGCGUGCUACUGGGCUGUAUCUGACACUCAGGGACGAAAGCUAGGGGAGCGAAAGGGAUUAGAUACCCCUGUAGUCCUAGCCGUAAACGAUGGAUACUAGGCGUGGCUUGUAUCGACCCGAGCCGUGCCGAAGCUAACGCGUUAAGUAUCCCGCCUGGGGAGUACGCACGCAAGUGUGAAACUCAAAGGAAUUGACGGGGGCCCGCACAAGCGGUGGAGUAUGUGGUUUAAUUCGAUGCAACGCGAAGAACCUUACCAAGACUUGACAUGUCGCGAACCCUGGUGAAAGCUGGGGGUGCCUUCGGGAGCGCGAACACAGGUGGUGCAUGGCUGUCGUCAGCUCGUGUC
This 530-nucleotide ribosomal RNA is filed under the name Microcystis aeruginosa PCC 7806. Its description in RNAcentral is "bacterial SSU rRNA". It matches the Rfam family "Bacterial small subunit ribosomal RNA", at positions 538 to 1066 of the family's 1533-position model. Lineage: Bacteria; Bacillati; Cyanobacteriota; Cyanophyceae; Chroococcales; Microcystaceae. The record is from RNAcentral.